CAGAGUGGAUCCCCAUCCUCACAAAAUUAUGGUGCCAACCAGGGUGGAUCCUUCUCACAAAAUUAUGGUGGUGGCCAGGGUGGAUCAUCCUCCUCAGACACCUAUGAUGAUAGUCAGGAUUCACAAGAUUUCUCAGAUGACAAUCCCAAUGCUUGUGAUGAUAGCGACACUACCUAUAGUGCCAACAGUCAGAGUUCUGGUUGUGCAAAGAAGAAGGUUCUUGUUGCCCGAG
Dryobates pubescens (Downy woodpecker) is the source of this 232-nucleotide long non-coding RNA. RefSeq lists it as uncharacterized. NCBI's taxonomy places the organism in Eukaryota, Metazoa, Chordata, Aves, Piciformes, Picidae. The transcript has 6 exons. The record is from RefSeq and is a predicted model, not a curated record.